Molecule: long non-coding RNA, 601 nt
Organism: Vespa mandarinia (Asian giant hornet)
Lineage: Eukaryota; Metazoa; Arthropoda; Insecta; Hymenoptera; Vespidae
Source: RefSeq, a predicted model, not a curated record
CUCGACGUAUGUCGAAGUAACUAGCAGAGACAUUGGAAUAGUCAUACAUUAAACUUAUUCGUUCAUGGUUUAUAAAGUGUCUUCGAUCUCUGAGAAAGUUUAAUUCGAAUUGACUUCCGAUAACUGUUUGCGACCUGUAGAUUCGUUUUUUUUAUCAACUCCUUAACCGAUUAAUCGUGAGGAAGAGAGAAGAAGUUAAGUAUUCGAGUACAUAACCUAUGUACAUAUAUUUCGAUGAUAAUGAUGAUGAUGAUGAUGAUGAUGAUGGACUCAUCUGACUUCCUCUUCUUUAUAAUCAAUCAGUUGUAUUACUCAUAAAACGUCGAAAGAAUUGUUUGAGCAGUCGAAAAUACAGCAAAGAGAUACGUAUGACGCCUUGAGUAUCGUAGAAUUUGUGGUUCAGACUUAAAGCUGAACGAGGAGGGUAAUGGAGGUCACAUAAGGAGGCUCGUGCCACGUGUGGGUGGAAAACUUUAUAAACGAUUUGUGCCGAGUGUUGGCGAGUCGUACCAGUCAGACAUAUAUACGUGGAUUAGAAUUACUUGAAAGUCGUCUCUCUACGUGUUACAUCAGAAAAUAUUAAACUCAUUGUCAAACAUUA